CCGAGAAGGGCGCGCAGCCACAGCCACCACAUGCCACUAGCCCCGCAAGGCGCCUGACUCCUCUAAGGGGAACUCGUAAUGCUCACCAAAAGCCUCAGAAACCCUGGAACCUAUAAGACCGCACCACCGCGCAAACGGUGUCCCGGGCUGCGCUCCCGCACUGCACCGGCAGCCUAUGAGGCGAGGCCAACCCGGAGACUGCGCGCGACGGGCGUGCGUGCGUGCGCCCGCAGAUUCGCUUCAGGCGAACCAUAUAUUCAAGACCAAAGAUCAUAUCUCAUAAUGAGGAGCAGCAUAAGAUGGAAGCAGCUGAAUGAAUAAAACUGAGAUGAAAUAA
Molecule: long non-coding RNA, 337 nt
Organism: Homo sapiens (human)
Lineage: Eukaryota; Metazoa; Chordata; Mammalia; Primates; Hominidae
Exons: 2
Source: RefSeq, a predicted model, not a curated record